RNAcentral lists this ribosomal RNA (294 nucleotides) under Blastocystis sp. RNAcentral describes it as "partial small subunit ribosomal RNA". It matches the Rfam family "Eukaryotic small subunit ribosomal RNA", at positions 42 to 348 of the family's 1831-position model. Lineage: Eukaryota; Bigyra; Opalinata; Blastocystidae. The record is from RNAcentral.
GAUUAAGCCAUGCAUGUGUAAGUAUAAAUAAUUCUACUUUGAAACUGCGAAUGGCUCAUUAUAUCAGUUAUAGUUUAUUAGAAAAAAUGUACUACUUGGAUAACCGUAGUAAUUCUAGGGCUAAUACAUGAAUGAAUCCUCGACUUUGAAGAGGUGUGUUUAUUAGUAUGAAAACCAUAUGCUUUUGCAUGAUAGUGAGUAAUAAUAACCUUUCAUAUCGUAUGUUGAAAUAACGAUAGUUCUUUCAAGUUUCUGCCCUAUCAGCUUUCGAUGGUAGUGUAUUGGACUACCAUG